Molecule: ribosomal RNA, 358 nt
Filed under: uncultured Eubacteriales bacterium
Lineage: Bacteria; Bacillati; Bacillota; Clostridia; Eubacteriales
Description: bacterial SSU rRNA
Rfam family: Bacterial small subunit ribosomal RNA
Source: RNAcentral
ACAGAGGAGACAGGUGGUGCAUGGUUGUCGUCAGCUCGUGUCGUGAGAUGUUGGGUUAAGUCCCGCAACGAGCGCAACCCUUGUGUUUAGUUGCCAACAGGUAAGGCUGUGCACUCUAAACAGACUGCCGUGGAUAACACGGAGGAAGGUGGGGAUGACGUCAAAUCAUCAUGCCCCUUAUGAUCUGGGCUACACACGUGCUACAAUGGUCGGUACAACGAGAAGCAAGUCAGCGAUGGCAAGCAAAUCUCUAAAAGCCGAUCCCAGUUCGGAUUGCAGGCUGCAACUCGCCUGCAUGAAGUCGGAGUUGCUAGUAAUCGCGGAUCAGAAUGCCGCGGUGAAUGCGUUCCCGGGUCUU